UGUCCAGCAUACCACCCUGAACAUACCUGACUGUAUCUGAUUUUGAAUGCUAAUGAGGGUCAGGCCUGGUUAGUACUUGGAUGAGAGCCCAGCAACAAACACCAAUAAUCUCCAGGGAGGGUUAGGAUAGAAUCAU
RNAcentral lists this ribosomal RNA (136 nucleotides) under Pogona vitticeps (central bearded dragon). Lineage: Eukaryota; Metazoa; Chordata; Lepidosauria; Squamata; Agamidae. The record is from RNAcentral.